CCUACGGGUGGCUGCAGUAAGGAAUAUUGGGCAAUGGACGCAAGUCUGACCCAGCCAUGCCGCGUGAAGGAUGAAUGUCCUAUGGAUUGUAAACUUCUUUUAUGCAGGAAAAAUAUCCCGGUCGUGAACCGGGACUGAUGGUACUGUAUGAAUAAGCAUCGGCUAACUCCGUGCCAGCAGCCGCGGUAAUACGGAGGAUGCAAGCGUUAUCCGGAUUCAUUGGGUUUAAAGGGUGCGCAGGCGGAAUGAUAAGUCAGUGGUGAAAUCUCCCGGCUCAACCGGGAAACUGCCAUUGAUACUGUCGUUCUUGAGUACAGUUGAAGUGGGCGGAAUGUGUCAUGUAGCGGUGAAAUGCUUAGAUAUGACACAGAACACCGAUAGCGAAGGCAGCUCACUAAGCUGUAACUGACGCUCAUGCACGAAAGCGUGGGGAUCAAACAGGAUUAGAUACCCCGGUAGUC
This 461-nucleotide ribosomal RNA is filed under the name uncultured Bacteroidota bacterium. Its description in RNAcentral is "bacterial SSU rRNA". It matches the Rfam family "Bacterial small subunit ribosomal RNA", at positions 338 to 795 of the family's 1533-position model. The record is from RNAcentral. Lineage: Bacteria; Pseudomonadati; Bacteroidota.